Molecule: ribosomal RNA, 464 nt
Filed under: uncultured bacterium
Lineage: Bacteria
Description: partial 16S ribosomal RNA
Rfam family: Bacterial small subunit ribosomal RNA
Source: RNAcentral
CUACGGGAUGCACCAGUGGGGAAUUUUGCGCAAUGGGGGGAACCCUGACGCAGCAACGCCGCGUGAGUGAAUAAGCAUCUAGGUGCGUAAAACUCUGUCGUCGAGGACUAAGGUACAGUGGUUAAGAGCUGUUGUACUUGAAUUUACUCGAAGAGGAAGCCCCGGCUAACUUCGUGCCAGCAGCCGCGGUAAUACGAGGGGGGCAAGCGUUAUUCGGAAUUACUGGGCGUAAAGGGCGCGUAGGCGGCCUGUUAAGUGAGAAGUGAAAGCCCCGGGCUCAACCCGGGAAUUGCUUCUCAUACUGGCAAGCUAGAGUAUGGGAGAGGGGAAUGGAAUUCCCGGUGUAGCGGUGAAAUGCGUAGAGAUCGGGAGGAACACCAGUGGCGAAGGCGGUUCUCUGGACCAUUACUGACGCUGAUGCGCGAAAGCGUGGGGAGCAAACAGGAUUAGAUACCCCCGUAGUC